This is a long non-coding RNA of Perca fluviatilis (European perch), 1214 nucleotides long. RefSeq lists it as uncharacterized. The transcript is spliced from 2 exons. The record is from RefSeq and is a predicted model, not a curated record. NCBI's taxonomy places the organism in Eukaryota, Metazoa, Chordata, Actinopteri, Perciformes, Percidae.
CCCAAAACCCAACCCUCCCGUUUGACAAAUAAAAGAAGUAAAAAAGAGAAAAUGUCGUACAAGCUAUAGCACAUUUUUCUUUUCUCAUUUAUUUUAUUUUUUUUCAUUUUGUGUGUUUUAUACUGAUUUUGAAUUAGUUUUUUUGGAAAGUGAUUUUAUUUGUUUGAGGUUUGCUGUUACGGGGAAAGGUUUACAGAACUUUUGUCUCCUGUAUGUAAUUUAAUUUUAUUGUAUUUUUACUGUGUAUAAAAAAAAAAAAACGGUCGUCCUCUGUGCCAGUUUUGUACUUUACGAACGAGGCAAAAAAAAAAAAAAAAGAAAGUUGCCUUGACUUUUUUUCUGCGGUUUAAUUAUCCAGAAGCGAAGUUUACCUGUACAUUAAGAGAACCACGAGAAACUUGAUUCUGUAAAGAAUCCUCUCUGAGUCAUUGCCUGAAGGUGUAUAUGAAAACUAUAUAAAUAUAUAUAUAAAAUAUCUUUAUAUAUAUAUGAAUAUAUCAAAGCGGUGCUUUAUUUGACUGUGGUUGUAUAAUAAAAGCCCCCACCCCACCCCUCUCCCCAUGUUGGACCAGCUGGAGCUUUUUAUUUUUCUUUACUGAAGUACAUUCCAUAAUCUAUUGUUUAUUUUUCGCUUCUUCUGCUGUGUUCUGAUUGACCUUUUUUUUUUUUUUUUUUUUUUUUUUUGAUUUUAUUUUAAUAGAGAAUAAAUUAAUAAAAACAGUUUUAAUAAGAAGAAUUAUGAACUUGAAUCAACGUGGAGCUGUGAGGGUGUUUUUUCUUUCUUUAUCUUUUCCUCAGUGUUUGACGAAAAAGAGAAAAGUUGAAGUUUUAAAAAGAAUUGUUUUCAGGCUGCAAGACGUUGUUUCUACGGUGACGUACGGGACGCUAAGCCUGGGACGUGUACAUAUGUUUCAGGACUCUCCUCUGACCAGUUCCUGGAACAAACCGGAGGGAUUCAUAUUAAAAGCAGGCGUCAGAUGGAGAACUGUGAAGACGUUUGAACGUUCGGAGGACUUACGUGUAACCUUCAGCUUUACGGACGAUGUCCAAACUCUCCUUGUCAGAAUCCUCCUGGUGUUUCUGCGUCCUCUUGAACCUGAGAGAGUACACACACACACAUUGACAUGUUGAAGUCUGACGGACACUGACCGAAAUCCUGGGAGGAGUCACGCGUUGGGAUGCUGAUAUUUAAGAAUAAAAAUAUUCCAAACGUG